RNAcentral lists this long non-coding RNA (1073 nucleotides) under Rattus norvegicus (Norway rat). Its description in RNAcentral is "long non-coding RNA NONRATT030203". Lineage: Eukaryota; Metazoa; Chordata; Mammalia; Rodentia; Muridae. The record is from RNAcentral.
AAUGAAUAAGGUGUAAAAGCAAAGGAUCUUCCUGCGUCUCAGAGAUCCUGGGAGGACAGACUGAUAAACAAACAGUCGGGAUCCACGCGCCUGGAGUUGAGCCGCAGGCUAGACCUUGCCGUAGCCGGCGUCUGCGCGGAACUGGGCAGGUGCUCAGCGCGCGUGCGCGUCCCGGGCUGUCUCUGGUCUCCCUGAAGCGCGCACUCGGUGGUGAUCCGUUGCUUUCCGCCUGGUGCCUGGAGCCAAGCCCAGAAGUCCCAUCUCUUGGAGGCUUGCGGUUGUUUUAUUCACAGUGUUACUGGCAGGCAGUCAUUUUCAUCUUCUGUAACCGGACUCGACUCAGGGAGCUUAAAGAGCCUGACCUCUCAAAACUGACUGACUGUUGCCCCCACCUGGAAGACAGUGAAAGCUAUUUAUUCAAAGUAUAAACUAUAAGCUUCCCCCUUUCCCGUGGCACCCCGCUCCCCCAAGUUCACUAAAAAAAUAAUUUACUUUUGAAUAUAUAAAUCUGGAAGUUUUGCACAGACGUUGUUUUGAGCGGUGUCAUUUCUCUCUUACCUCUGAUCCAAACACAUUUCAAAAUAAUAUGCAGAAAAUCAAGGUGUGUUAGUAGUUCAAGAUUUUAUACUGUGAAACGAUAACUUUCAACUAUAUGAAAACAUAUAAUAGUGCCCAAAGAGAAACUGAAAAAUGUCUCUGUCUCUGGUUAUCAAGAUAAUGUACAUUUAGCAUAUUUUGAGUUUAAUUGUCCGAUGUCAUGGAAUCACUGGAAUGUCCACGCUAAAUGGGGAAAAAUACAUAUGGACCCGAUUUUGAGACGAAAGGGGUGAUUUGUGGGUGUGUACUACACAUGGUAGACUUGCCUUUUUAGGAGGAAAACGUGGGUCUAAAAUGUAUUUUGUGUGAAAACAAAUGUUUUAUUCCACUUUUUGGAAGUUGGGGAGAGAUCAUUGGGAAAAAUCGGAGAUGCCACAGGGGGUGUGCUGUUUUCCCUCGUGUAUUAUGACACCUGCAUGAUGUCUCUGUAUUAACUGAUCUCCAGUGAAGCAUUUAUAUCUAUCAUAUGGGUGGAG